CAUCUCAAGACAGAAUAAUGGAUUUUAUAACAAGCUCUGAAAUUUUGAACCACCAUAUGGCAUAUACUUAAGCAUGGAAUGGCGAUUAGUAUGAACAAUCUUGAAUUUGUGCUUAUGUUGUAAAUUUUGGAUAAAAUGAAUACAAAUUAAAUGGAACCGUCAUUUUUAUCUGUUUAAAUGGAACUGUUUAUUAUUCUUUUUAAAUAAGAUAAGAUAUGAUUGGAUACAGGUUGUUUAUUAAGCCUUAUCUGAAAGAAGCAGAGAAAGAGGUAAACCAGCAUGUAGGGGUGGGGACAUAAAAUGAUCCAUGUUUCUUUAAGUAAUGGGGACAUACAAGUAUUUAUUAUAGCCAAGGUUUUCACAAUAACCCAGUAUUGCAUUAAUGGUGUCAUAAGAAUUCUUUAUAUCUUUAUGUCACAGUAUAGGGAAAACGGUACUAUUACAUUUUCCCAGCAUUAGGUUGGCCUUUUGUGUACCCAAGGCAGGUGAAGGAAGUCAACUUGGGAGCGCUGUGAUUGGAUGAAAUUUCUAUUAGAAAAUGAAUCAAAUGAAGAAUCUUCAUGGUUAAAUGCAUAGAAAGGAUAUUUGAAGAGAGCCAAUGACAUAAGGAGAAGCAGUUAUGAAUUUUGAAAUUGAUAUAAAGGAGAGGUCAUUCAUCACAGAAGAUUUAAUCAAAGUUUACAGUAUGUUGAGAGAAGUUCAGAACAAGCAAUUUGGUUGAAGAGGAGUUGUCAACACGUCAUCUUUGAACAAGGUCAAUUGUAUUAGAAGUGAAUCCUUAACAGAAAUGAGACAAUAAUCAAAUAAUUCAAAGACUACAUGGAUGUUAUCUGGACUAGCAUUUGUAUGACCUAAAUGUGGUAUUUUUCAUAUGAACACUUACAAGGCAGAUAAUAGUCUGUGACAAACAUUUGUAUGCAAUUAAAGACUUGAAGAACUUGUACGGUAUUCUUCAGAUUUCAGUAGAAUUUGUUUAAAACGGUACAUUCUUGGUAUGAAUUGAAGAAUUUUUGCUCAUUUAAAUGAAUUAUGAAAAUGUUUUAUAUGUUUAGAAUAAACAAAAACAACAUAAAAGAUGGACAAAUUUUUAUUUUCUUUCUUGAAACUUAUAACAGAAUAAAUUGUCAUAUGCUAA
Mytilus californianus (California mussel) is the source of this 1135-nucleotide long non-coding RNA. RefSeq lists it as uncharacterized. NCBI's taxonomy places the organism in Eukaryota, Metazoa, Mollusca, Bivalvia, Mytilida, Mytilidae. The transcript is spliced from 5 exons. The record is from RefSeq and is a predicted model, not a curated record.